This 381-nucleotide ribosomal RNA is filed under the name Triticum aestivum (bread wheat). RNAcentral's name for it is "partial small subunit ribosomal RNA". The record is from RNAcentral. Lineage: Eukaryota; Viridiplantae; Streptophyta; Magnoliopsida; Poales; Poaceae.
AUGAGUACACUGUUGAUCCGGUACAUGGUUGAGAUUUUUGAUCCUAGCAAGGGCAGAUUCAUUGUACAAGACUUGGUUGGCGAAGUGUCUCUCGGUGCCGUGGAUGUUGAAUGCAUCUUGUCCUUGGAGAACCACGGACUGUCGGCAGAAGGUAUUCUCAGUGAGGAAGGUGAGGAUGUUAAAGAUCGAGUGCCGCCUCAAUUACUGAGCAAGACCAUAGGUAAUAUAGUCAUCGAUGAUCUGAUUGUGGACAUCACAAAAAUAAAUCUACCGACGACGAUUUCCUUCGGAAAGUUGUCCUCGUGGUUCUUGGAACAGUUCUUGCUCCCAUGUCGAGCAAGACUGUCCCAAAGCAAUAUUACGCAUUGGUGGACGAUGUGA